AAUUUUGCCCCUCAGAGUGGUUUGUACAUCACUACCCAAGAGGACAUCAUACUACAAAUCCUGCCAGAAUGAACUGGAAGGUGAGUGUGGCAUUUAUAGCUUGAGAAUGAACAGGUUGUUUGGUGCCAAGUUUGUGCUAAUGGAGAUGUCCUCUAUGUGUUAACACCCAAAGGAGAACAAAUUCAACAACAAAACCUUUUAGUUUUUGGCAUGUCUAUGGAGAGUUAACUUUCCAUUGUUCAAGGGUUAAUUAUCCAUUAUGUGAAUCACUUCUCUUUCUCCCUCUGGCUGCUUACAUCUAGGAAUUCAGUUUACUACAGGAUAAAUAGGAAAAAUAAAAAGAGAUGGAAAUAAAACUAGUACAUUUCAUUUAUAAAUAUUAGAAGCUCUAGAAAAGAACUUAGUGGAAGAGACAGAAUUAGAUGUAGUUUGGGGACUGCCAAGUUGAUUGACCAUUGAUAACAAAUGUAACUAAAUUUUACAAAAGAGUUUGGCUUCUUUUAAUUAUCUUUUAUUAGGGUCAGUUUUGUAGCAGAUGAAGUUAGUCUCUGGAUAGUAUUCAUGUCAAUAGGGUACUUUUAUUUAUUUAUUUAUUUAUUUAGUCUUUCGUCUUUUUAGGGCCACGCCUGCGGCAUAUGGAGGUUCCCAGGCUAGGGAUCUAAUCAGAGCUGUUGCUGCCGGCCUAUGCCAGAGCCACAGCAACACCAGAUAUGAGCCGCAUCUGACAUCUACACCACAACUCAAGGGAACGCCGGAUCCUGAACUCACUGAGUGAGGCCAGAGAUUGAACCUGCAACCUCAUGAUUCCUAGUCAAAUUCAUUUCCACUGCACCACGAUGGGAACUCCCAGUAGGGAACUUUUAGGGUGCUGGAAUGGGUUUCUCUCCUCUGAUGGGUCUAGAGCACCAAAGUGCUUAGUGGGCCCCAGCUUACUGACUGAGAAAGUAUUAAGAGAGCCUAUCAAUUUCUUUACUCAUCUAUGAGAAACAACUGCACUUCGCUAUUAUCGGUUAUUAUUUGCCUAAAACCAGGGAUUUAAUUAGUGCUUUCUAAGAUAGUAGAAAGGGUUUGGCUGUCUGUCUUCUUGCCCCUCUCUGCAUUGUGCUGUUUGCCCCCCAUCUCCCUCCUGUCUAGUUCACUGGCAUUCAAAGCCAGUCUCCAUGCCUUUCCACAUCUGACACCAGCCUGAGCCCCUCAGAUGUUGAGUUUGAGGAAAGGAAGAACCACUGACUGACCACAAGAAAGUAUUAACAAGCUGGAGAAGCCUUCGGUGAAUAGGACACAUUACAGAAGAGCCUGGGACUUUCAGACUGCAAUGAGCAGACCAACCUGGGUAUUUUGCCACCCUCAUGAAUCCUAGAAAAUGAAUGGGACCACUGCAAGCUCAAGGCUACAUCUCCCACCAGACAUGGAUAUUGGGUAUUGUGGAGAUUAGAAAAACUACCUCAGCAAAUGACUGGAGAUCCUGUCAGUUAGUUGGAAGAAAAAAUAUGGGAGUUUAAAGGAUUCAGAUUUAGGAGAAUCUAUUGAUUUGUUUUCUGGUAGUAUUUCUUCCUUAUGAUAAACAAGACAUAUUCAAUGUCAAUGCAUUGACAUAUAAAUAUCCAUCUAUCCAUUCAUUCAUUUAUUACUUAUUCAUCGAUCCUCCAUUCAGAUUAAGGCAAUUCAACAUUGGUUAGAAGGGAGAUAAAUAAACAUAAAAUGUAGUACCUGCCCUCUAACCACAUAUAGUUUUAUACAUAAAAAACUCUUCAAUACAAAGCAAUACAUGAUGCUCCAAAUGAAAGCUAUAGAUUUUUAAAAUGCUAUUAAUGUCAGAAGGGGAAGUUCAUUUUUAGUUUGGGUUAUGAUGGAAAGCUUCAAAGAAAAAAGUGUGACUUAACAAGAUAUGUUUUGGCUGGGUAUCAUGACAAGGUAUCUGGAAAAUUAUAGCUGCUGAUGCUGAUAUGUAAAUACAGCAUCAAAGUAUUUAAUGUUCACCUAAAUAGUCAAGAAACUAGAAUAAACUGGAUCAUUUGUACAUAAAUUUAUUCUUACAAAAUAAAGAGAAUUAUUAAACAUAUUCUCAAUGUUCAGAUAAUUAACAGCAGUUUAAUUUCUUUCUACUUAAUUUUAAACUACUUUAUACAUAUAGCAAUUAAUAUUUUGAGAUUGUGCAUAACAGAAUUUAGGUUCAUAAUCUAACAUGUAUAUCUGAUGAAUGAUAAUAACCAAUCUUACCAGCUAACCAAUUCUUACCUUUUGCAGAUACUGUUCGUAAAUAUUUGUGUAAAAUUUCUGUGUUGUCAGUGUGAUAAAAUGUCAACUACAUUUCACUUAUGGUCAAUUUGAAAAACAUUUGACUGAAUUCAAAGGCAAGUAAGCCUAGCUAUUAUCUGGUCAUUUUUUAAAAAAAAUUCCUUUAAUUAAUUUUUUUAAUUUAAAUUUUACUGCACUAUAGUUGACUUACAAAGUUGUGUUAACUUCAGGUGCACAGCAAAGUAAAUCAGUAUAUAUAUACACACACACACACAUAUACACAUACGCAUUCCUUUUCAGAUUCUUUUCCCAUAGAAAUGAAUCAAUAUCUUUUUCCUAACUUUUAAAAAUAUAUAUCUUUUCAAAGGAAUCACAUAGAUAUCAAAAUGCAUGUUUAUAUAAAUAAGGAACAAUGAUUUCUUAUUGGGCAGUCAUAAUUCUGUACUUAACGUCAUUUAUGUCUAAUUGCAACUGCUUAAUUAAAUUAAUAUAACAUGUAGUAAGUUCUUAUAGUUAAAAUGUGCAUGUAAGGAAAUAUACAUUUUAUAACAUACAUCCUCUGAAAUAAAAUUAAAAAUGGAGAGGUGAGCCCUAGAAAAUUGAAUUAUUGAUAGUCUACUAUGAAAGUUUAUAAUACAGGUAUUGAAAAAAGUCAGGUAAUAUUAAUAUAACCAUUUAAAUGGAAAGAAAUACAUCCUUAUCUUGCAUUUCUAGCAAAGGUGUACUGAUUAAGUUCUGACCUAAAUACUUAAACUGAGCCAUGGAAUUCUUCCACAGUGAUGUGAAACUCCAGAUCUUGGCAACAAUAAAAAAAAAAAUUCUCUGGAUGGUUACAUUUUUAAAAUGUUGUCUCUUGAGAUAUACUCUUAGAUAUUUGUGUUUCCCUAUUUUCUGCUUAAAGUUGCUCAUAAGAUUUUACAUACAUGCACAGAAGAGUCUAGUAAUAGAGCAUUUUCUCAGUGUUAGAGAUCCAGGUUGCCUUUAAUGUAGUCCUAACAGGCAGCAUCCCUGCCAGAGAUUAACGGCCAAUUCUCCCAGGAGUCUGUGCAGUCUGAGUAUUAACUGAAGAAGGCACAACCUCAUGUAGGUCUUGGUGGGAAUGGGGUAAAAGCCAGUUACAUCUGUUAUAUCAUACUUUUAAAAAGUUUAAUACUAUUUUCCCAUUCUACUUCUUUCUUUAGAAAACAGGAGAACUAAUGGAAAAUCCCCAAGAAACAUUAUAUGUGUGAGCCGCAUGGUCAUAACUAACAUGGCCUAACUGAAGUAGGCAAGUUUUUCAUUAUAUACCAUUAAACUUUCAGCAAACUUGUCCUAAUAAAACUUUGGGAUUACUUCCUUUCACAAUGACAGCUCAGGAAUUUGAUGUCCCUCUAUAGGAAUGAUAGGAACUUUAGGAAUUGUGAAAGGAAGCUCUUUGUUCUAGAGCUCACUGACAGACCUACAGCAGGGGUUUCCUCUCCAUAGGGAACAUAGGAAUAUAUGAGCAUGUCUGAGUUCUAUGCUUAAGAAUCUGAAUUGCCCAGAGUAGCAAACAAAAUUCCAAAGCAAAGUACCAAUGUAUAUGUUGAAUGACUGCACCAGCUUGGACAAGAGUACACAUAACAGGCACACAUAAUACACAUCUGGUUAAAUGUAAAAUCAACUAUUGCUAAAGCAUUUUCAACUUUUAGGAGGAAUCUACUGGCAAUGUGUUAAUAGCAAGGAAAACUAAAACAAUAAAAUAGCAUCUCUUUCCAAAUAUUUAAGAACAUCGAGUAAGUGCCCCUUAGGCUGGGUUGUGGUUCUUGGAAGUUUUAGCCUAUGAGAACCAUAUUGGGGACAUCAAAGACUCCUCCCUCUCUCCAAAGAGCAAUUCACUUCAGAUGCUGCCACACAGUCAAAUGCUUUUAUGGCCACCAUGUUUUUUUGGUUAUUGUUUUUUCCACUCUUAAUAUUUUGGAACACGCUGGAUUCUUGAAAUUGGAAAGAAAACAAGAAAACACAGUGAGAUCAAAUACCUCUGAAAGAGCAACUAAGAAGGGACCUGAUGGUAAAAGACAAAUACACAUUCCAACUGAAAUUCCACUUCCAGGGAGAGUGUGAGUAAUCAACAAGGACAUGGAAGGCACGUACUGGCACCAAAAGCUGGUCUGUUGACUUCUGUCCUAAUCUCCUAUCAGACAGGAUGCAACCACCCCCAUUCCAUUCCUUCGACAACUUCCCAAGCUCACUCAAUCAGAGUCUCUUACAUUGAGGACGAUACUAUAUUUGGGUUUAAUGCUGUGAGGACAAUCAUCUAGUUUUCCUAUGUCAGGAUGAUAAAUUUCCCUGGAACCAAAUAAGGAUUCUCCUUGCAUUCUUCUGUUCGAUACCAUGAAUGCAGAAGAAUAAAGAAGAGGGUGUGACAAACAAUAUUUUCCAAAGGUUGGGUGAGGGGAGUUUCCCCAACAUUUAAAAACAACCAGUUUUUAGCAAAGUGAUCUUGAGAGGAACAGCAUUACUAUUCUUUUGCUACGCAUUCACUUUUUUUUCUUGCUUAGCUGGGUACGUUAAGUAUUCGGAGCAUAAUGUAAAUGCUCAGAAUAGAGAGACAUGAAAAGUUGGUAGAGAGAAACUCAAAUGAACGAUGAAUCCCACUUUCACUUCCCCCUCCUACCACCCCGAGCACUACCUCCCAGCCCCACUCACCUAUCGUCCUCCUCCCACAAGCAUGUUUGCUAGGCACAUCAAGGCUGACAUCCAUCGGUGGCAGCAUGAAACCUAUGCCUGCAGGCUCCUCCUGACCACAGACUCAAGGCUCAGCCAUUGUCCAUAGAGUGCCCUCAGCCGUGCGCAGGAAAAUCUUCAUCAGGCCGUUGAAUUGUUUUGGUAGAUUUUUUUUUAAAUUGCAUUUUUUUUUCUUUUUAAAAAAACACUCAUUAUUUCCUGACUGCCUCAGAAACACCAAGAAUAGAAUCCUUGACACAUCAAAUUCUGGAACCUCACCACUCACCAGGACUGUGGUUCCUGAUCCAAGGAGUGUCGACUGAGAAUCAGCACAGUCUCUUGAGAGUGUCCAGGCCUGGCUGCUAAGCUCCCUGCUCUGAUUAGUUUGUCAAGUUCACAGUGUUCCAGGGUGCUGAAGCACAGAAAUUAGGGAGGGGAGGUGGAAGGAAAAUCACUGGAGCCUCUUACGAUCUAACUUCCACUAACUGAGAGGAAAUGUCUUAUAAAUAAACAACAGCAAG
This 5444-nucleotide long non-coding RNA is filed under the name Sus scrofa (pig). RNAcentral describes it as "lncRNA (ENSSSCG00000054263.1)". The record is from RNAcentral. Lineage: Eukaryota; Metazoa; Chordata; Mammalia; Artiodactyla; Suidae.